RNAcentral lists this unclassified non-coding RNA (1435 nucleotides) under Hevea brasiliensis (rubber tree). The record is from RNAcentral. Lineage: Eukaryota; Viridiplantae; Streptophyta; Magnoliopsida; Malpighiales; Euphorbiaceae.
UGGAAGAUGAUCAAAAUCAGAGUCUUACGAAAAGGGUUUGGAUUGAAUCCAAGAAACUAUGGCAGAUACUGGGUCCUGCAAUCUUUAGUCGCCUUACCUCUUACUCUAUGCUUGUUAUUACACAAGCUUUUGCAGGUCAUUUGGGUGACCUAGAGCUCGCAGCCAUUUCCAUUGCCAAUAACGUCAUUGUUGGCUUCGAUUUUGGUCUCUUGUUGGGGAUGGCUAGCGCAUUGGAAACAUUAUGUGGGCAAGCUUUUGGUGCAAAAAAAUACUACAUGUUGGGUGUGUACAUGCAGCGUUCAUGGAUAGUAUUGUUCUUGUGCUGUGUUCUACUUUUGCCUCUAUAUCUCUUCGCUUGUCCUGUGUUGAAGCUAUUGGGACAGCCCCAAGACGUAGCAGAGCUUUCUGGCAGGGUUUCCGUUUGGAUGAUACCACUUCACUUUAGCUUUGCUUUUCAGUUCCCGUUGCAGAGAUUCUUGCAAAGCCAGCUUAAGAAUACAGUAAUUGCAUGGGUGUCUUUAGUGGCUUUGUUGGUGCAUGUGAUUGUGAGUUGGCUGUUUGUUUACAGGCUUCAGCUCGGAGUAAUUGGCACUGCCAUGACUCUGAACUUUUCUUGGUGGGUUCUAGUGUUUGGGCAUCUGGGUUACACUAUUUGUGGUUGUUGUCCUCUUACAUGGAAUGGGUUCUCUACCGAAGCCUUUUCUGGUCUCUGGGAAUUCACCAAACUCUCUGUAGCUUCUGGGGUCAUGCUAUGCUUGGAGAAUUGGUAUUACAGAAUACUCAUAUUGAUGACUGGAAAUCUGAAGAAUGCAGAGAUUGCUGUAGAUGCCUUGUCCAUAUGCAUGACCAUAAAUGGCUGGGAGUUGAUGAUUCCUCUUGCAUUCUUUGCAGCCACCGGAGUAAGGGUUGCUAAUGAGCUUGGAGCAGGAAAUGGGAAGGGAGCAAAGUUUGCAACAGUGGUGUCUGUGACAACAUCAAUUAUAAUGGGGCUUAUCUUCUGUGUAUUGAUCAUGAUUUUCCAUGAUCAGCUUGCCUGGAUUUUCACUACCAGUGUACCAGUCCUUAAUGCAGUAAGUCAGCUCUCUGUUCUCCUAGCUUUCACUGUUUUGCUCAACAGCGUUCAGCCCAUUCUCUCAGGGGUUGCAGUGGGAUCUGGUUGGCAAAAGUAUGUGGCAUAUAUUAACUUGGGUUGCUAUUAUUUGAUUGGGAUUCCACUGGGAUUCUUGAUGGGUUGGCUCUUUCACUUGGGAGUAAGGGGAAUUUGGGCUGGAAUGAUUUUUGGUGGAACAGCAAUUCAAACAUUGAUUUUGGCCAUCAUUACCAUUCGAUGUGACUGGGAGAAAGAGGCAGAGAAAGCAGCAUUGCAUUUGAAGAAAUGGUCGGAAGUAGAGUAAAAGUAAAAAGAUGAAUUGUUUUGUUAUUACUAAGUGAUCUC